Molecule: ribosomal RNA, 669 nt
Filed under: Hepatozoon canis
Lineage: Eukaryota; Apicomplexa; Hepatozoidae
Description: SSU rRNA
Rfam family: Eukaryotic small subunit ribosomal RNA
Source: RNAcentral
AAUACAUGAGCAAAAUCUCAACUUUAUUAGAAGAGACGCAUUUAUUAGAUAAAAAGCCAGUUCAUGCUUUUACAGUAUGAAAAUUGGUGAUUUAUAAUAACUUAGCAAAUCGCAAAGUGAAAACAGGCGAUAAAUCAUUCAAGUUUCUGACCUAUCAGCUUUCGACGGUAUGGUAUUGGCUUACCGUGGCAGUGACGGUUAACGGGGGAUUAGGGUUCGAUUCCGGAGAGGGAGCCUGAGAAACGGCUACCACAUCUAAGGAAGGCAGCAGGCGCGCAAAUUACCCAAUUCUAACAGUUUGAGAGAGGUAGUAACAAGAAAUAACAAUACAAGGCAGUUAAAAUGCUUUGUAAUUGGAAUGAUAGAAAUUUAAACCCUUUUUAAAGUAUCAAUUGGAGGGCAAGUCUGGUGCCAGCAGCCGCGGUAAUUCCAGCUCCAAUAGCGUAUAUUAAAAUUGUUGCAGUUAAAAAGCUCGUAGUUGAAGUUCUGCUGAAAGUAACCGGUCUGCUUUUAAUAAAAGUGGUAUCUUGGUAUGUAUUUAGCAAUGAUGUCCUUUGAAGUGUUUUUUACUUUAUUGUAAUAAAGCAUAUUCAGGACUUUUACUUUGAGAAAAUUAGAGUGUUUCUAGCAGGCUAACGCUUUGAAUACUGCAGCAUGGAAAUAAUAAGA